Molecule: ribosomal RNA, 501 nt
Filed under: uncultured bacterium
Lineage: Bacteria
Description: partial 16S ribosomal RNA
Rfam family: Bacterial small subunit ribosomal RNA
Source: RNAcentral
AUUGAACGCUGGCGGCAGGCUUGACACAUGCAAGUCGAGCGGGGGAAGGUAGCUUGCUACCGGACCUAGCGGCGGACGGGUGAGUAAUGCUUAGGAAUCUGCCGAUUAGUGGGGGACAACAUCUAGAAAGGGAUGCUAAUACCGCAUACGUCCUACGGGAGAAAGCAGGGGAUGUUCGGACCUUGCGCUAAUAGAUGAGCCUAAGUCGGAUUAGCUAGUUGGUGGGGUAAAGGCCGACCAAGGCGACGAUCUGUAGCGGGUCUGAGAGGAUGAUCCGCCACACUGUGACUGAGACACGGCCCAGACUCCUACGGGAGGCAGCAGUGGGGUAUAUUGGACAAUGGGGGGAACCCUGAUCCAGCCAUGCCGCGUGUGUGAAGAAGGCCUUAUGGUUGUAAAGCACUUUAAGCGAGGAGGAGGCUACUUUAGUUAAUACCUAGAGAUAGUGGACGUUACUCGCAGAAUAAGCACCGGCUAACUCUGUGCCAGCCGCCGCAGUAA